This 253-nucleotide ribosomal RNA is filed under the name uncultured bacterium. RNAcentral describes it as "partial 16S ribosomal RNA". It matches the Rfam family "Bacterial small subunit ribosomal RNA", at positions 524 to 776 of the family's 1533-position model. The record is from RNAcentral.
UACAGAGGGGGCAAGCGUUGUUCGGAAUUACUGGGCGUAAAGGGCGCGUAGGUGGCCUUCUAAGUUGAACGUGAAAUCCCUGGGCUCAACCCAGGAACUGCGUCCAAGACUGGGAGGCUUGAAUCCGGGAGAGGGAUGCGGAAUUCCAGGUGUAGCGGUGAAAUGCGUAGAUAUCUGGAGGAAUACCGGUGGCGAAGGCGGCAUCCUGGACCGACAUUGACGCUGAGGAGCGAAAGCUAGGGGAGCAAACGGG